GACGAACGCUGGCGGCGUGCCUAAUACAUGCAAGUCGAGCGGACUUGAAGGAGUGCUUGCACUCCUGAGAGUUAGCGGCGGACGGGUGAGUACACGUAGGCAACCUGCCCUCAAGACUGGGAUAACUACCGGAAACGGUAGCUAAUACCGGAUAAUUUAUUACAUAGCAUUAUGUGAUAAUGAAAGACGGAGCAAUCUGUCACUUGGGGAUGGGCCUGCGGCGCAUUAGCUAGUUGGUGGGGUAACGGCCCACCAAGGCGACGAUGCGUAGCCGACCUGAGAGGGUGAACGGCCACACUGGGACUGAGACACGGCCCAGACUCCUACGGGAGGCAGCAGUAGGGAAUCUUCCGCAAUGGGCGAAAGCCUGACGGAGCAACGCCGCGUGAGUGAUGAAGGUUUUCGGAUCGUAAAGCUCUGUUGCCAAGGAAGAACGUCUCAUAGAGUAACUGCUAUGAGAGUGACGGUACUUGAGAAGAAAGCCCCGGCUAACUACGU
This 498-nucleotide ribosomal RNA is filed under the name uncultured bacterium. Its description in RNAcentral is "partial 16S ribosomal RNA". It matches the Rfam family "Bacterial small subunit ribosomal RNA", at positions 28 to 506 of the family's 1533-position model. The record is from RNAcentral.